Long non-coding RNA from Xiphophorus couchianus (Monterrey platyfish), 1208 nucleotides. RefSeq lists it as uncharacterized. The record is from RefSeq and is a predicted model, not a curated record. Lineage: Eukaryota; Metazoa; Chordata; Actinopteri; Cyprinodontiformes; Poeciliidae. The transcript has 5 exons.
CUCAGUGUAUAUUAUAGGCUAAUAAAGUAUACCUUUUUAGGUGCCUUAAUAAUCUUUUACUAUUUUUGUUAAAAUGGCAAAGAAUAAAAAAAUGAUAAAAUUUAUACUUGACGUAAUGUUGUUUAACAAAGUAAAUACUGUGUUCAUGCCAAAAUAUCAAAAAUUGACAGUUUAGUGACAGCAGUUCUACAACAAAAACAAAACUUGUCCUUAACACUAAAUGUAGCAGGUAUCUUUAGUUCUACAUCUUUCCGAAUAUGAUCUGUUGUUUUCAGUUUUUUAACUAAAACACGGAAGCUGUUUUUACCCAAUCCAUUUUCAGAUGUAUAAUGUAAGAUCUAUUAGUGAAAGGCAUUAGCGCCAGUUCACACUCCAGACCAGAUGGUGGCGCUAUUGCACAUUUUCAGUUUUUUUGAAAAGCGCCAUAAAAAGAAGAAAAGCCAAGAAGCCAGAGAAGAUAACACACGCUGUUCAAAUUCGCCAUUUUUACUCGCAUAAUAUUGCCUUAAAGGUAGAGAGAGCCUUGAUAGUUUUGGUAAAUUAAAGCUGGUGACGUCCUAGCCCGAGUUAAACGACAACACAACAGGACAAGAACCGAUGGAAAUUAAAUGUGGGUCACGAAAGGAGCCCGGAGGGACAAAGCCUGCUAACGUGUUGCUAGCUUGUGUCUAAGCAAAUGAAGAUGAAAGAGGAAGCCAGGGAUCAUCGAUUAGAAAACCUAAAGACUUUCCUGUCUCAGAAGAGGCUCUGGCUUCACCAGAUCACCAACCAGUUCUGAGGAUGAACCUCCACAUCGUCUUCAUGGUGGAAGGCUUUUUUAAAACAUUUUUUUACUGAGCAGCUGGCCACAUUUUUAACAGCAAAAACUGCUUUCAGGGCUCUGUGAUGGACUGGUGACCUGUCCACGGUGAACCCCGCCUCUCAUCUGAUGACUGCUGGAGAUGGGCACCACCAGCCCCAAUCACCACCCUGCAAGGAUCAGCAUGUUCAGAUCAUGGAUGGAAAGAUUUUAAGGCAUCCGGUCCCAAUCAUUAUCAGUUCUAAUGAUGCCACAUACAUAGUGAGUCCACAAAUUGUUUCUGUGAAGUGCAGUGGUCCAGUGAAUGGGAAUGUUCUGUCGUUGAUCCUCACUGUUAGAAAGGAGAAAUGUCAGUUUUUCUGCAGUAAUCCAGGAAUACUGUGACAUUGAAUUAAAACAAUACUCUGUC